This is a long non-coding RNA of Helianthus annuus (common sunflower), 938 nucleotides long. RefSeq lists it as uncharacterized. The transcript is spliced from 6 exons. The record is from RefSeq and is a predicted model, not a curated record. NCBI's taxonomy places the organism in Eukaryota, Viridiplantae, Streptophyta, Magnoliopsida, Asterales, Asteraceae.
UGUUGUUCAAAAGUGAACGGUUUGAAGAUGCACACCAAGUGCUUGAUGAAAUGCUUCAACCAAACAUUUUUAAUGGUACUUGUAAUUAGCAGCUAAGAAAGCUAGAGAGAAUCAGAUUCUUUCCAACUUCUAUAGAGCCUUGUGGAGAGUUUUGAAAGAAUACAAGAAUAAGUUAGAGAUGGCUUUUACCUUUGUGGUUUACCCUUCCUUGAUCCUUGCUUAUAUGGGCCAAGCCGCGUAUCUCUCAAAGCAUCACAUUCUUGAAACCGACUACUGAAUUGGUUUCUACAUAUCCGUGCCUGACACUAUAAACAUGCAAAAACAACUAGUAUUUGAACCGGAAGACUUGGUUCCAAAUUAUUUUGGGUAUUGCUCGGGGUUUGCAGUACUUACAUGAAGAUCACACCUCAAGAUUGUUCAUAGAGAUAGUAAAGCCAUCAACAUUUUCUUCGCCGAGGAUCAAGCUUAUCUUAGCACCACGUUUGCUGGAACAUAAGGUUAUACAACCCUAUUAUGUCAUCAGGGGGAAUUGUCUGAAAAUGCCGACAUACAGUUUCAGAGUUGGGGUUCUUAAGAUUAUUUGCUGAAGGAGACACUCAUCUUACACUUUCAUCCGAAUUGCAAUAUCUCCUAGAUUAUGUCAGUCCAACGUCAUUUUACUUGGCAAGGACCUAAUCGAACCGCAUGCAAAUAAAAUAUGAGUUUUGAUUAGCUAAGACAAAAGGACCAGCUAGUGGCCAAAAUGGAAACGGGAAGAGUUUUUAAAGGAAUGAGAGAAGGUUACGUUCCAAGUCCUUCCAGGAGUGAUGUAUGUUGAGACAAAAAGUGUUGUUGCAAGUACUGCUAGGAUUGAUGCAAGUUUAUGUAUUUUGUAUUCAAAUUGACAUCUUAUGUAUGGAUUUUGGUUUAUUAUUGUUAAUAUCAUUAAUUUUGUUUUU